RNAcentral lists this ribosomal RNA (429 nucleotides) under Chloroflexota bacterium. Its description in RNAcentral is "Chloroflexi bacterium partial 16S ribosomal RNA". It matches the Rfam family "Bacterial small subunit ribosomal RNA", at positions 355 to 776 of the family's 1533-position model. Lineage: Bacteria; Bacillati; Chloroflexota. The record is from RNAcentral.
UGGGGAAUAUUGCACAAUGGGCGCAAGCCUGAUGCAGCCAUGCCGCGUGUAUGAAGAAGGCCUUCGGGUUGUAAAGUACUUUCAGUCGGGAGGAAGGUGGUAAGGUUAAUAACCUUAUCAAUUGACGUUACCGACAGAAGAAGCACCGGCUAACUCCGUGCCAGCAGCCGCGGUAAUACGGAGGGUGCAAGCGUUAAUCGGAAUUACUGGGCGUAAAGCGCACGCAGGCGGUUUGUUAAGUCAGAUGUGAAAUCCCCGGGCUCAACCUGGGAACUGCAUCUGAUACUGGCAAGCUUGAGUCUCGUAGAGGGGGGUAGAAUUCUAGGUGUAGCGGUGAAAUGCGUAGAGAUCUGGAGGAAUACCGGUGGCGAAGGCGGCCCCCUGGACAAAGACUGACGCUCAGGUGCGAAAGCGUGGGGAGCAAACAGG